GAUUUGGAGAAAUUUUAAUAUAACAUUGAAACUAUACAGAGGAAGAUUAGCUCCUGAACUAGGAUGACACACAGAUUUGUGCAACAUUCCAUAUUUUU
Molecule: small nuclear RNA, 98 nt
Filed under: Vombatus ursinus (common wombat)
Lineage: Eukaryota; Metazoa; Chordata; Mammalia; Diprotodontia; Vombatidae
Source: RNAcentral